RNAcentral lists this ribosomal RNA (624 nucleotides) under Triticum aestivum (bread wheat). Its description in RNAcentral is "partial small subunit ribosomal RNA". Lineage: Eukaryota; Viridiplantae; Streptophyta; Magnoliopsida; Poales; Poaceae. The record is from RNAcentral.
AUGUUCACCUACACCAGAAUAAAAGCCUCAACCUGUCAACAAAGAGCACAACAUCGUGUUGAGAGGGAAAAAAAGGAAAAAAAAGCUCCCGCGAUCGCCUGGCGAUCUGGCGGCGACGGAGAUAGAGAAAGGGGAGUAAUGGAGACGGGGAAUCCGGCGGAGGCCCCAGCGGCGCGUGACCCCAACGGGAGGGGGCGGGCAACAACGGCGUCCCAGGCGGAGUCAACGGAGCCUCGCGUCCUCAGUAGGGCGGGGAUCUCCGUCGGGGGCCCGGUGGGCAAUCUCGAUUGGGAAGAAAUCAAGGCCACGUCAAGGCGGAUCCUCCGGCAAUCUCUAAACCGGAAACGGUGCUGGAAGCGGAUGAAGAGGAGGGCGGAGGAGAUGAUGCGCAUGAAGCCAGAGAGGAGCUUCACUGAUCUGGCGGGGAGUGUGGAAGCCGGCGGCGACAACGGCGACAUAUCGGAGGUACUUCCAUAUAAUAGGGACAUAGUUUCUCAGGAUUUGACCCCGUUUGGGGUAGGGGGUCCGAUUUUGGAUGCUACUAGUAUGGAAACUACUGUGAUUGCGUUGGAUUACAGAGAGAUUCUUUCUCUGAGAGAUAUAAAAGAGAAAGAGGGAAAUUAG